Molecule: long non-coding RNA, 192 nt
Organism: Chinchilla lanigera (long-tailed chinchilla)
Lineage: Eukaryota; Metazoa; Chordata; Mammalia; Rodentia; Chinchillidae
Exons: 2
Source: RefSeq, a predicted model, not a curated record
UUCAAGUUUUUUCCUAAUAAGUAACUUGCUUAUUAAUCAGGCCAAGGAGGAAUUUGAAGAACUGCUAAAAAAAUACUCCAAAAUCAUCACUUGUGUGUGAAUAAUGCAAGAGUAGAAAAAGAUGUGAGUGAUUCCCAGUUGCAGAUUUUUUCUUGAAAUGAGCAUGUUGGGCAUAAUAGGUCAAACAGAACG